AGAUUCAAGGUUAGCGUAUGCUGGCCUCGCGAUGGCUCGUGAUGCCUCGGGGACUUUGGUACCCGGGGCACGCGGUCGUGGCGGGAAGCCGGUGGCGUCGGCGUGCACUUCUCCCCUAGUAGGACGUCGCGACCCGUUGGGUGCCGGUCUAAGGGCCGGGCGAUGGCCUGUCUCGUCGCUUUGGCGCAUCGAGGGAGAUCCCCGGUCGCCAGACGCCGGGUGUCCGGUGGUACUCACAUGGUAUUGGGCCGCAAAAUUGAACUGGGUCGGACCCGUCGAAGCGCGAUCAGUGUUUUACGGAGGUUGGACCUAGCGCCGUACUUGUGCCUGGUUAGCUGUUGGGUGACGGUGUUCUACGAAUGGGCAUUGAAACUAG
RNAcentral lists this ribosomal RNA (376 nucleotides) under Plastanoxus sp. MC-2010. RNAcentral describes it as "eukaryotic LSU rRNA". The record is from RNAcentral. Lineage: Eukaryota; Metazoa; Arthropoda; Insecta; Hymenoptera; Bethylidae.